Molecule: small nucleolar RNA, 108 nt
Filed under: Octodon degus (degu)
Lineage: Eukaryota; Metazoa; Chordata; Mammalia; Rodentia; Octodontidae
Description: Small nucleolar RNA SNORA32 (ENSODEG00000022789.1)
Source: RNAcentral
UGCUUUCUAAGAUGGGCAUGAGGUAUACUGUAGAUAUGAACAGAAAAGAACUUUCUCCUGGGUCUUCUAUCUACUACCUUGCUAGCAAUCAAUCUAUUGGGAAUAUUU